RNAcentral lists this ribosomal RNA (454 nucleotides) under uncultured bacterium. RNAcentral describes it as "bacterial SSU rRNA". It matches the Rfam family "Bacterial small subunit ribosomal RNA", at positions 19 to 518 of the family's 1533-position model. The record is from RNAcentral.
CUGGCUCAGAACGAACGCUGGCGGCAGGCCUAACACAUGCAAGUCGAGCGCGCCCUUCGGGGUGAGCGGCGGACGGGUUAGUAACGCGUGGGAACGUACCCUUUGGUAGGGAAUAGCCACUGGAAACGGUGAGUAAUACCCUAUGAGCCCUUCGGGGGAAAGAUUUAUCGCCAAAGGAUCGGCCCGCGUUAGAUUAGGUAGUUGGUGGGGUAAUGGCCUACCAAGCCUACGAUCUAUAGCUGGUUUUAGAGGAUGAUCAGCAACACUGGGACUGAGACACGGCCCAGACUCCUACGGGAGGCAGCAGUGGGGAAUCUUGGACAAUGGGGGCAACCCUGAUCCCAGCCAUGCCGCGUGAGUGAAGAAGGCCUUAGGGUCGUAAAGCUCUUUCGCCUGUGAAGAUAAUGACGGUAGCAGGUAAAGAAACCCCGGCUAACUCCGUGCCAGCAGCUGC